ACCUACCUUAUACAGGGGAAUAGCCCGAAGAAAUUCGGAUUAAUGCUCCAUGGUUUAUCGAUAUGGCAUCGUAUUGAUAAUAAAGAUUUAUCGGUAUAAGAUGGGCAUGCGUAUCAUUAGCUAGUUGGUGUGGUAACGGCAUACCAAGGCAACGAUGAUUAGGGGUCCUGAGAGGGAGAUCCCCCACACUGGUACUGAGACACGGACCAGACUCCUACGGGAGGCAGCAGUGAGGAAUAUUGGUCAAUGGAGGCAACUCUGAACCAGCCAUGCCGCGUGCAGGAUGACGGUCCUAUGGAUUGUAAACUGCUUUUGUACAGGAAGAAACCUCCCUACGAGUAGGGACUUGACGGUACUGUAAGAAUAAGGAUCGGCUAACUCCGUGCCAGCAGCCGCGGUAAUACGGAGGAUCCGAGCGUUAUCCGGAAUUAUUGGGUUUAAAGGGUUCGUAGGCGGCUUUGUAAGUCAGUGGUGAAAUUUCCUAGCUUAACUAGGACACUGCCAUUGAUACUGCAGAGCUUGAAUAAUAUGGAAGUAACUAGAAUAUGUAGUGUAGCGGUGAAAUGCUUAGAUAUUACAUGGAAUACCAAUUGCGAAGGCAGGUUACUACGUAUUUAUUGACGCUGAUGAACGAAAGCGUGGGGAGCGAACAGGAUUAGAUACCCUGGUAGUCCACGCCGUAAACGAUGGAUACUAGCUGUUCGGUUUUCGGACUGAGUGGCUAAGCGAAAGUGAUAAGUAUCCCACCUGGGGAGUACGUUCGCAAGAAUGAAACUCAAAGGAAUUGACGGGGGCCCGCACAAGCGGUGGAGCAUGUGGUUUAAUUCGAUGAUACGCGAGGAACCUUACCAGGGCUUAAAUGUAGAUUGACAGAUUUGGAAACAGAUUUUUCUUCGGACAAUUUACAAGGUGCUGCAUGGUUGUCGUCAGCUCGUGCCGUGAGGUGUCAGGUUAAGUCCUAUAACGAGCGCAACCCCUAUUGUUAGUUACCAGCGCGUAG
Molecule: ribosomal RNA, 1000 nt
Filed under: Myroides odoratimimus
Lineage: Bacteria; Pseudomonadati; Bacteroidota; Flavobacteriia; Flavobacteriales; Flavobacteriaceae
Description: bacterial SSU rRNA
Rfam family: Bacterial small subunit ribosomal RNA
Source: RNAcentral